AGAGUUUGAUCCUGGCUCAGAUUGAACGCUGGCGGCAUGGCUAAAACAUGCAAGUCGAACGAGAACCCCGCAAGGGGCAAAAGUGGCGGAAGGGUCAGUAACACGAUCGAAUGUACCCCGAGGUGGGGGAUAGGCAGGGGAAACUCUGCGUAAUACCCCAUGUGCACUCCGGUGGAAAGAUUUAUCGCCUUGGGAGCAGCGAUCGUCCUAUCAGGUAGUUGGCGGGGUAAAGGCCCACCAAGCCGAAGACGGGUAGCGGGUGUGAGAGCACGGCCCGCGACAUCGAGACUGAGACACUGCUCGGACUCCUACGGGAGGCUGCAGUAACGAAUAUUCCGCAAUGCGCGAAAGCGUGACGGAGCAAUGCCGCGUGCAGGAUGAAGCGGUUUCGCCGUGUAAACUGCUGUCAGGGGCAAGGAACACUGACCUGCCCCAGAGGAAGAGCCGGCUAACCCUGUGCCAGCAGCCGCGGUAAGACAGGGGGCUCGAGCGUUAAUCGGAAUCACUGGGCUUAAAGGGUGCGUAGGCGGGCCAGUAAGCGUCUUGUGAAAUCCCCCGGCUCAACCGGGGAACCGCGGGGCGAACUGCUGGUCUAGAGGAAGCUAGAGGCGGGUAGAACGAUAGGUGGAGCGGUGGAAUGCGUAGAUAUCUAUCGGAAUGCCGAAAGUGAAGACAGCCCGCUGGGGCUUUCCUGACGCUGAGGCACGAAAGCGUGGGGAGCAAACGGGAUUAGAUACCCUAGUAGUCC
RNAcentral lists this ribosomal RNA (748 nucleotides) under uncultured bacterium. RNAcentral's name for it is "bacterial SSU rRNA". It matches the Rfam family "Bacterial small subunit ribosomal RNA", at positions 8 to 796 of the family's 1533-position model. The record is from RNAcentral.